This 742-nucleotide ribosomal RNA is filed under the name uncultured bacterium. RNAcentral describes it as "bacterial SSU rRNA". It matches the Rfam family "Bacterial small subunit ribosomal RNA", at positions 8 to 796 of the family's 1533-position model. The record is from RNAcentral.
AGAGUUUGAUCCUGGCUCAGAGCGAACGCUGGCGGCAGGCUUAACACAUGCAAGUCGAGCGGGCACUUCGGUGUCAGCGGCAGACGGGUGAGUAACACGUGGGAACGUACCCUUCGGUUCGGAAUAACUCAGGGAAACUUGAGCUAAUACCGGAUACGCCCUUUGGGGGAAAGGUUUACUGCCGAAGGAUCGGCCCGCGUCUGAUUAGCUAGUUGGUGGGGUAACGGCCUACCAAGGCGACGAUCAGUAGCUGGUCUGAGAGGAUGAUCAGCCACACUGGGACUGAGACACGGCCCAGACUCCUACGGGAGGCAGCAGUGGGGAAUAUUGGACAAUGGGCGCAAGCCUGAUCCAGCCAUGCCGCGUGAGUGAUGAAGGCCUUAGGGUUGUAAAGCUCUUUCGACGGGGACGAUAAUGACGGUACCCGUAGAAGAAGCCCCGGCUAACUUCGUGCCAGCAGCCGCGGUAAUACGAAGGGGGCUAGCGUUGCUCGGAAUCACUGGGCGUAAAGGGCGCGUAGGCGGAUACUUAAGUCAGGGGUGAAAGCCCGAGGCUCAACCUCGGAACUGCCUUUGAUACUGAGUAUCUUGAGACCGGUAGAGGUAAGUGGAACUGCGAGUGUAGAGGUGAAAUUCGUAGAUAUUCGCAAGAACACCAGUGGCGAAGGCGGCUUACUGGACCGGUUCUGACGCUGAGGCGCGAAAGCGUGGGGAGCAAACAGGAUUAGAUACCCUAGUAGUCC